This 66-nucleotide transfer RNA is filed under the name Sorineuchora shanensis. Its description in RNAcentral is "tRNA-Cys". Lineage: Eukaryota; Metazoa; Arthropoda; Insecta; Blattodea; Pseudophyllodromiidae. The record is from RNAcentral.
GGUCUUGUAUUCAAUAAUGAUUAUGAAAUGCAAUUUCAUAGGGGUGAUAUUAAAUCACUAAGGCUU